UGGCGUCGUGGUUGAGUGGUAAGGACACUUGUCUCACACCCUGGAGUCCCGAGUUCGAUCCCUGGUCGAGCUAA
This is a non-coding RNA of Rhamnusium bicolor, 74 nucleotides long. The record is from the annotation of a GenBank genome assembly. Lineage: Eukaryota; Metazoa; Arthropoda; Insecta; Coleoptera; Cerambycidae.